GAUAUUUUACUAUUUUUACCUCUGGCUCUUUGUUCCUCUUCUCCACCGAUGAGUUUAUCUUUUUCUUCUCUUCUUCUCUAUAUUUUUGUUUGUCUUUCUUAUAGGAUUGAUUUUUAUCAUUAUUUCAAUUUCCAUCGUCUGGUAGCUUCUCUUUGGAAGAUUUUCUUCUCUCAUUCAAAACCCAACUCCAUUUUUUUUUUCAGAUUUCUUUUACCUGUUGAUUUUGUUUCAAUUAAUAUUUAUUUACCCA
Molecule: long non-coding RNA, 250 nt
Filed under: Gossypium raimondii (Peruvian cotton)
Lineage: Eukaryota; Viridiplantae; Streptophyta; Magnoliopsida; Malvales; Malvaceae
Description: long non-coding RNA (GRAI_LNC009423)
Source: RNAcentral